AUAAUUUUGAAUAAAUUUCUUAAAUUAUUCGGUUUAUGUAUUUUUUAAUAUAUACUGCAUUUUUUAUUUUCCCUUACAUAAAAAUAUAUUUAAAAAUAUUUGAUUUAAAAAUAUUUUUGAAUAAUUUUAUUCAAUAUAUUGUCUUAAUUUAUUAGGAUUUUAACAGAAAUUUCUUAUUUUAAUUAAAUAUUAUA
This 194-nucleotide transfer RNA is filed under the name Pneumocystis jirovecii. RNAcentral's name for it is "tRNA-Pseudo(TAT)". The record is from RNAcentral. Lineage: Eukaryota; Fungi; Ascomycota; Pneumocystomycetes; Pneumocystales; Pneumocystaceae.